GACGAACGCUGGCGGCGUGCUUAACACAUGCAAGUCGAACGGAAAGGCCCUGCUUUUGUGGGUUGCUCGAGUGGCGAACGGGUGAGUAACACGUGAGUAACCUGCCCUUGACUUUGGGAUAACUUCAGGAAACUGUGGCUAAUACCGGAUAGGAGCUCCUGCUGCAUGGUGGGGGUUGGAAAGUUUCGGCGGUUGGGGAUGGACUCGCGGCUUAUCAGCUUGUUGGUGGGGUAGUGGCUUACCAAGGCUUUGACGGGUAGCCGGCCUGUGAGGGUGACCGGCCACAUUGGGACUGAGAUACGGCCAAGACUCCUACGGGAGGCAGCAGUGGGGAAUAUUGCACAAUGGGCGGAAGCCUGAUGCAGCAACGCCGCGUGCGGGAUGACGGCCUUCGGGUUGUAAACCGCUUUCGCCUGUGACGAAGCGUGAGUGACGGUAAUGGGUAAAGAAGCACCGGCUAACUACGUG
This 468-nucleotide ribosomal RNA is filed under the name uncultured bacterium. Its description in RNAcentral is "partial 16S ribosomal RNA". It matches the Rfam family "Bacterial small subunit ribosomal RNA", at positions 28 to 507 of the family's 1533-position model. The record is from RNAcentral.